RNAcentral lists this ribosomal RNA (253 nucleotides) under uncultured bacterium. Its description in RNAcentral is "partial 16S ribosomal RNA". It matches the Rfam family "Bacterial small subunit ribosomal RNA", at positions 524 to 776 of the family's 1533-position model. The record is from RNAcentral.
UACGUAGGGUGCAAGCGUUGUCCGGAAUUACUGGGCGUAAAGGGCUCGUAGGCGGCCAACUAAGUCAGACGUGAAAUCCCUCGGCUUAACCAGGGAACUGCGUCUGAUACUGGAUGGCUUGAAUCCGGGAGAGGGAUGCGGAAUUCCAGGUGUAGCGGUGAAAUGCGUAGAUAUCUGGAGGAACACCGGUGGCGAAGGCGGCAUCCUGGACCGGCAUUGACGCUGAUGAGCGAAAGCCAGGGGAGCAAACGGG